This 253-nucleotide unclassified non-coding RNA is filed under the name uncultured Myxococcales bacterium. RNAcentral's name for it is "contains 16S-23S intergenic spacer region". It matches the Rfam family "Bacterial small subunit ribosomal RNA", at positions 524 to 776 of the family's 1533-position model. Lineage: Bacteria; Pseudomonadati; Myxococcota; Myxococcia; Myxococcales. The record is from RNAcentral.
GACAGAGGGUGCAAGCGUUGUUCGGAAUCAUUGGGCGUAAAGCGCGCGUAGGCGGCUGGGUAAGUCGAAUGUGAAAGCCCACGGCUCAACCGUGGAAGUGCAUUCGAAACUGCUCAGCUUGAGUCCUGGAGAGGGUGGUAGAAUUCCCAGUGUAGAGGUGAAAUUCGUAGAUAUUGGGAGGAAUACCCGAGGCGAAGGCGGCCACCUGGACAGUGACUGACGCUGAGGUGCGAGAGCGUGGGUAGCAAACAGG